UUAGAGGAAGUAAAAGUCGUAACAAGGUUUCCGUAGGUGAACCUGCGGAAGGAUCAUUAUCGUACAAAAUGUGUGAGGCGCGUGAGGGCUGUCGCUGACUUUUUAACACAAAAGUCGUGCACGCCGGAGCGCGUCCUCUCGCAUAAAAUCCAUCUCACCCUUUUGUGCACCACCGCGUGGGCACCCUUUGGGAUCGAACCGAUCCAGGAGGGUGCUUGCGUUUUCACACAAACCCCCUUUAAAAAGUGUAGAAUGUCCCCAUUUUGCGAUGACACGCAAUCAAUACAACUUUCAACAACGGAUCUCUUGGCUCUCGCAUCGAUGAAGAACGCAGCGAAAUGCGAUACGUAAUGUGAAUUGCAGAAUUCAGUGAAUCAUCGAAUCUUUGAACGCACCUUGCGCCCCUUGGUAUUCCGAGGGGCACACCCGUUUGAGUGUCGUGAAAAUCUCAACCUUCUCGGUCUCCUUCUGGACACCGAAGGAGGCUUGGACUCUGGAGGCCUUUGCUGGCGUCUCUCUCUUUUUGAGAGCCAGCUCCUCUUAAACGAAUUAGCGGGGUCCUCUUUGCCGAUCCUCGACAUGUGAUAAGAUGUUUCCGUGUCUUGGUUUCUGGCUCUGUUGCCUUUGGGACCCGCUUCUAACCGUCUCAACGAGACGACGUUUGGGCGUGUCUCCCUUCUCGGGAAACUCUCUCAACCCCACGAACCCUUGACCUCAAAUCGGGUGAGACUACCCGCUGAACUUAAGCAUAUCAAUA
This 757-nucleotide ribosomal RNA is filed under the name Lactarius thyinos. RNAcentral's name for it is "eukaryotic LSU rRNA". The stretch from base 287 to 440 matches the Rfam family "5.8S ribosomal RNA". The record is from RNAcentral. Lineage: Eukaryota; Fungi; Basidiomycota; Agaricomycetes; Russulales; Russulaceae.